UUGGAGGGCAAGUCUGGUGCCAGCAGCCGCGGUAAUUCCAGCUCCAAUAGCGUAUAUUAAAGUUGUUGCAGUUAAAAAGCUCGUAGUUGAAUUUCGGAAUCAAUUUGUUGGUCGUGCCUCGGUACGUACUGGUAUUAUUGGUUUCUACCUUCUGAAGAACCUUGAUGUCAUUAAUUUGGUGUCUUGGGGUAUCAGGACUGUUACUUUGAAAAAAUUAGAGUGUUUAAAGCAAGCAUACGCUUGAAUACAUUAGCAUGGAAUAAUGAAAUAGGACGUUUGAUUCUAUUUUGUUGGUUUCUAGGAUCGACGUAAUGAUUAAUAGGGAUAGUUGGGGGCAUUAGUAUUCAAUUGUCAGAGGUGAAAUUCUUGGAUUUAUUGAAGACUAACUACUGCGAAAGCAUUUGCCAAGGAUGUUUUCAUUAAUCAAGAACGAAAGUUAGGGGAUCGAAGACGAUCAGAUACCGUCGUGGUCUUAACCAUAAACUAUGCCGACUAGGGAUCGGAUGAUGUUAAUUUUUUAAUGACUCAUUCGGCGCCUUACGGGAAACCAAAGUGUUUGGGUUC
RNAcentral lists this ribosomal RNA (564 nucleotides) under uncultured Glomeromycotina. RNAcentral describes it as "SSU rRNA". It matches the Rfam family "Eukaryotic small subunit ribosomal RNA", at positions 548 to 1114 of the family's 1831-position model. Lineage: Eukaryota; Fungi; Glomeromycota. The record is from RNAcentral.